GACGAACCGUGCAAACGUUGUUCGGAAUUACUGGGCGUAAAGGGCGCGUAGGCGGCCUUCUAAGUCAGACGUGAAAUCCCUCGGCUCAACCGAGGAACUGCGUCUGAUACUGGAAGGCUUGAAUCCGGGAGAGGGAUGUGGAAUUCCAGGUGUAGCGGUGAAAUGCGUAGAUAUCUGGAGGAACACCGGUGGCGAAGGCGGCAUCCUGGACCGGUAUUGACGCUGAGGCGCGAAAGCUAGGGGAGCAAACGGG
This 253-nucleotide ribosomal RNA is filed under the name uncultured bacterium. RNAcentral describes it as "partial 16S ribosomal RNA". It matches the Rfam family "Bacterial small subunit ribosomal RNA", at positions 524 to 776 of the family's 1533-position model. The record is from RNAcentral.